UAGAAGAUGACGAGCGGCGGACGGGUGAGUAAUACUUAGGAAUCUACCUAGUAGUGGGGGAUAGCACGGGGAAACUCGUAUUAAUACCGCAUACGACCUACGGGAGAAAGGGGGCAGUUUACUGCUCUCGCUAUUAGAUGAGCCUAAGUCGGAUUAGCUAGAUGGUGGGGUAAAGGCCUACCAUGGCGACGAUCUGUAGCUGGUCUGAGAGGAUGAUCAGCCACACCGGGACUGAGACACGGCCCGGACUCCUACGGGAGGCAGCAGUGGGGAAUAUUGGACAAUGGGGGAAACCCUGAUCCAGCCAUGCCGCGUGUGUGAAGAAGGCCUUUUGGUUGUAAAGCACUUUAAGCAGUGAAGAAGACUCCAUGGUUAAUACCCAUGGACGAUGACAUUAGCUGCAGAAUAAGCACCGGCUAACUCUGUGCCAGCAGCCGCGGUAAUACAGAGGGUGCAAGCGUUAAUCGGAAUUACUGGGCGUAAAGGGAGCGUAGGUGGCUCGAUAAGUCAGAUGUGAAAUCCCCGGGCUCAACCUGGGAACUGCAUCUGAUACUGUUGAGCUAGAGUAUGUGAGAGGAAGGUAGAAUUCCAGGUGUAGCGGUGAAAUGCGUAGAGAUCUGGAGGAAUACCGAUGGCGAAGGCAGCCUUCUGGCAUAAUACUGACACUGAGGCUCGA
This 676-nucleotide ribosomal RNA is filed under the name uncultured Psychrobacter sp. RNAcentral describes it as "bacterial SSU rRNA". It matches the Rfam family "Bacterial small subunit ribosomal RNA", at positions 81 to 756 of the family's 1533-position model. Lineage: Bacteria; Pseudomonadati; Pseudomonadota; Gammaproteobacteria; Moraxellales; Moraxellaceae. The record is from RNAcentral.